CAAGUCGAGCGGAAGGCCCUUCGGGGUACUCGAGCGGCGAACGGGUGAGUAACACGUGAGUAACCUGCCCCUGACUCUGGGAUAAGCCCGGGAAACUGGGUCUAAUACCGGAUAUGACACCUCCUGGCAUCGGGUGGGUGUGGAAAGUUUUUUCGGUUGGGGAUGGACUCGCGGCCUAUCAGCUUGUUGGUGGGGUAAUGGCCUACCAAGGCGACGACGGGUAGCCGGCCUGAGAGGGCGACCGGCCACACUGGGACUGAGACACGGCCCAGACUCCUACGGGAGGCAGCAGUGGGGAAUAUUGCGCAAUGGGCGAAAGCCUGACGCAGCGACGCCGCGUGGGGGAUGACGGCCUUCGGGUUGUAAACCUCUUUCAGCAGGGACGAAGUUGACGUGUACCUGCAGAAGAAGCGCCGGCUAACUACGUGCCAGCAGCCGCGGUAAUACGUAGGGCGCAAGCGUUGUCCGGAAUUAUUGGGCGUAAAGAGCUCGUAGGUGGCUUGUCACGUCGGGUGUGAAAGCUUGGGGCUUAACUCCAGGUCUGCAUUCGAUACGGGCUGGCUAGAGGUAGGUAGGGGAGAACGGAAUUCCUGGUGUAGCGGUGAAAUGCGCAGAUAUCAGGAGGAACACCGGUGGCGAAGGCGGUUCUCUGGGCCUUACCUGACGCUGAGGAGCGAAAGCGUGGGGAGCGAACAGGAUUAGAUACCCUGGUAGUCCACGCUGUAAACGUUGGGCGCUAGGUGUGGGGACCUUCCACGGUUUCCGCGCCGUAGCUAA
RNAcentral lists this ribosomal RNA (777 nucleotides) under Streptosporangium amethystogenes. Its description in RNAcentral is "bacterial SSU rRNA". It matches the Rfam family "Bacterial small subunit ribosomal RNA", at positions 58 to 855 of the family's 1533-position model. The record is from RNAcentral. Lineage: Bacteria; Bacillati; Actinomycetota; Actinomycetes; Streptosporangiales; Streptosporangiaceae.